Molecule: small nucleolar RNA, 81 nt
Filed under: Oryza longistaminata (longstamen rice)
Lineage: Eukaryota; Viridiplantae; Streptophyta; Magnoliopsida; Poales; Poaceae
Description: snoRNA U54
Rfam family: Small nucleolar RNA U54
About the family: U54 is a C/D box small nucleolar RNA, which acts as a methylation guide for 18S ribosomal RNA in plants.
Source: RNAcentral
AGCUCAGUGAUUUCAACCAGUCACAUUGGUUUUAUACGCUAUCCUGAUGGGAGCUGUUGAAAAUUAAGAUGUAUGAGAGCU